UUAUAACUAAAAGAAUUAAGGUUUCCAUUUGGCUUUAUUCCAAUGAUUUUGGCACUUAUCUUAUUUUCCAAAUCAUCUUCUCUUUAAUUUUUGGUUGCUAAUCCUAGUUGCAGUAGGAUUCUCUCUUUUGAAUCCCAAGAGCACGCCUUUUUUAAAUCAGCAACUACACGUGACUUAAGCCUUGGUCAAGGCUUGGUCGAGUGUAAUCCUGACUCCCUCUUGCUGCCUUGGCUACUAGUCAAGCCCAAGGAUUGGUUGUGCUCAUCCUUUUCACUAAGACGUAAGCCUUGGGCGAGGCUUACUUCGGUGUAUAUGAGAUUUAUGAUCAUGUCGAUACCUUAGCCUUGCCCGAGACUUGAGUGUGUGCUCCAAAGUCUAUUGCUGCUGUUAAGUCUAAGCCUUGCCCAAGGCUUAAAUGGUGAUAGAUAGUUGUUUUGCAGUUCUUGCUCUUUUUACACUGUUCUUUCAGAUUUGGGCUUUGUCUCCUUUGCUAUGUCAAAAAGGACAAAAUAACUUAAUUAGAUAGUAAAUAGUUCAAUUAAGCACUCAAAAGUGGAUAACGAGAAUGUUAUUUUUGUACACUAUCAAACUCCAUCAUACUUAUCUUGUGCUUUCCCUCAAGCACUACACAGUACAUACCAUGAAUCCUCAUCUCCUCACUUUCAACUCACCUAAUCGCAAUCAUUCCAUCACAACUUGCAUGUUACACCUCAACCCUCGAGUUACAAAAAUAACCAUCAACUAAUAGUUUAUAGGAUUGAGUUUCAUGGAAGCAUAUUAAUGAAAA
This 787-nucleotide long non-coding RNA is filed under the name Carica papaya (papaya). RNAcentral's name for it is "long non-coding RNA (CPAP_LNC005640)". The record is from RNAcentral. Lineage: Eukaryota; Viridiplantae; Streptophyta; Magnoliopsida; Brassicales; Caricaceae.